AUAGCAAGCUUUUCUUGCCGCAUAAUGCAUUUGCAUUAUGAGGAAAGUCCGGGCAGCACAGAGCACCGUACUUCCUAACAGGAAGGAUUCGUCUGUGACGAAUACAGAAAGUGCCACAGAAAAUAUACCGUCCACCUUUGGUGGAUAAGGGUGAAAAGGUGCGGUAAGAGCGCACCGCUCCGAGGGUGACUAAGGAGGCAGGGUAAACCUUACGGGCUGAAAGGUCAAAUAAGUGAUGUAAUACUGGCUUAGCCAGUUAUAGGGUUGCUCGCCCUAUUCUUUUUUUCGAAAAAGAUGCAUUACGGGUAGACCGUUAGAGGCGUUUGGCGACGGACGUCCUAGAUAAAUGGCAAGAGCCUCUACUGGAGGAACAGAACCCGGCUUAUAAGCUUGCUUUUUUU
RNAcentral lists this RNase P RNA (401 nucleotides) under Roseihalotalea indica. Its description in RNAcentral is "RNase P RNA component class A". It matches the Rfam family "Bacterial RNase P class A". Rfam says of the family: Ribonuclease P (RNase P) is a ubiquitous endoribonuclease, found in archaea, bacteria and eukarya as well as chloroplasts and mitochondria. Its best characterised activity is the generation of mature 5'-ends of tRNAs by cleaving the 5'-leader elements of precursor-tRNAs. Lineage: Bacteria; Pseudomonadati; Bacteroidota; Cytophagia; Cytophagales; Catalimonadaceae. The record is from RNAcentral.